Dreissena polymorpha is the source of this 2220-nucleotide long non-coding RNA. RefSeq lists it as uncharacterized. Lineage: Eukaryota; Metazoa; Mollusca; Bivalvia; Myida; Dreissenidae. The record is from RefSeq and is a predicted model, not a curated record. The transcript is spliced from 3 exons.
AUCCUCAUCAUCGUCACUCUCAUCAUCUGAUAGACUGUCAGUGUCAAUAGCUCCAUCCUGAGGUACGACCACAUCAGUUGACACCUUGUUAACGGUUGCUGAUGCCUUUGGCUUCUUUCUUAUGAAUUUCAAAGCUAUUAAUAACACAAUUUCAACUGUUUUACUUAAUUUAUAAAAAUCCUUGCACUAUUAUUUCAUUAAUCGGCAUAGAAUGCAAGUUAAGUUAACCAAAAAAUUGUUUGACAUUUUAAAUUCGGGAGCCAGACUUGACACUCUAAAACAUCUAAGGAAGAUCACUAAUGAAAGACCACUAAGGGAAUUAACCAAAGGGUGUCACUGUAAGAAUUUACACCUGAAAUGCUUAAAUUGAUUGUUUUAUUUUCUCGGAUUUGUUUUAAUCGCAAUUUAGGUUAUCUAUAUUCAAUUUUUCUAUCGCCAUAGCCGUGAUUUUAUCGCAUUGGCGAUCAGACGAUGGGUUAAUUUUGCAGAAUGUCAUAUGGUUCCUUUUGCACAAUUUAAUAUUAAGAAAACAAAUGCAAAAGGUAUCAUAUGCUAAUGUGGGUCCUUUUUGCAUCAACUAUUUAUGUAUGUUGUAUUCUAUAAAGGCACAAUAACUUAAGGUACCAUAUGACAUACCAGUGAAGAAUAAUCCUAUAUACAAAUGUGACAGGGUUGACUUUCUCCCAAUUUGUUUGUUGUUUAUAACCUUUGCCUAUUAUUUUAAAAUAAUUUUUUUUGAGCCAGUCAAAAAAUCUUAAAACAAAACAACUAUCACACUUUGUUAAGUCAUUACCAAGCUUAAGAAUAAAUAGAAGCAUCUUGGUAAUAUAUAAAAAGAUUGUAGGUCACAUGGUACACAAUAUUUGAUGAUGUCAUAAUAAAAUGGAAAUUUCUAAAUAAGCAAACAUAAAUAAAUAAACACACUAUGCCACUACUUCAAAGCGAAACUGUAGAAAAAAUCAAGUCAAUGAUCACAUCUUUGUUGGAACUUAGAUACAACCAUUUAGUGUUAGUUACAGUCAAACAAUAUUCAAACAACCAUACAAAAUGAUCUGAUCUCAUUACGUAGGUCAAAAGUUUGUCACUGUCCAGUGUGUGAACUCUUUGAACCCUCCUCUUCACUACUUAGGUGGGUCACAGCUGUUUGCAUUAAAGAUUCCUCAACUGCUUCAAUACCUUUUUUCAGUACACCCACCUGCUCUUUUAUGGUCAACAAGGCUUUCUUCUGUACUUCUUUAAGUCUUUCAGGUGUUCUGGUGGAAGCUUGCAUUUCCAACAUCGACAAGAGAGACAAAGCGUCAUUUAUGUGGUUUUUCAUAGCCUCUGUGGCAUCUUCCUCUGUAUUGAAGGUUUUUCAUAGCCUCUGUGCCAUCUUCCUCUGUAUUGAAGGUUUUUCAUAGCCUCUGAGGCAUCUUCCUCUGUAUUGAAGGUUUUUCAUAGCCUCAGUGCCAUCUUCCUCUGUAUUGAAGGUUUUUCAUAGCCUCUGUGCCAUCUUCCUCUGUAUUGAAGGUUUUUCAUAGCCUCUGUGCCAUCUUCCUCUGUAUUGAAGAACACGGUGGCUCUGCCACAUUUUUUCUUUGGAUUCAUCUUUAUUUGUUUAACAACUAGUGGCUAAUUUUUUUUAUAAUGUCUUCAUGUGUAGAUGUGCUUGGCAAGCCCUUCAUUUCUAUGCAGUACUUCCAGUUUUCUUCCAGUACUCCAGCUGCUUCAUUGCUGAAAAUCAGUCCAAAUCGAUAUGAAGUUUUGUUUAUUGGGUUACAACACACCCGUAACCAUAACGGUUAAAUGUAGGGAUGGCAACGGUUAAUCGGUUAACCGGUUAUCCGUUUCUUAAGGAGGUUAACCGAUUACAAAAUUAAUAUUCGGUUACUCUUGCAGAAAACGCAUUUUUUUGUUGAACGAAAUUAAUGCUCAAAUCGUAAGUUUUGUUUGUACUUCAUUUCACUGUAUUGGCUAAACCGCUUAUCUGAUCGCAAAUUAUCGGCAAUUACCAUCCCAUGAUGCCCCCCUGUGGAUCGAAAGCGAUGAGAGUUGUAAACCAUCAGGGUGCAGCGGUAUUAUGAGCAGGCACACGAGCACCUACUCUGCAGUGUGUUUGUUUAGCACUUUACAGUCUAUUGUGUUUCAAUUAUUCAAAUAUUGAUAAAUUUAAAUUAUAAACCGACCAAUUACGCUUGUCAAUUAGCAGAUUUGACUGCGAUAUGUCCCUUUUUUUUAUCU